Arachis ipaensis is the source of this 545-nucleotide non-coding RNA. The record is from RefSeq and is a predicted model, not a curated record. Lineage: Eukaryota; Viridiplantae; Streptophyta; Magnoliopsida; Fabales; Fabaceae.
CUUAUUUUUGCUUUUCUCUUUCUUUUAUUGUUUGCAUUCUUUAUUGGUCAGUAAUUUGUUGAUAAAGUCAUAAACAUAUUUACCAUCUUCUAUGGUUCUCCUUGAUGAACCAAUGUUUGAUCUUUUUGCCGUUUUUGUGUAUAUAUCAUGGAGUCAUUAUGAAAGCUCACAUACCAUUCAAGAUAUGCCAAAAUCUAUUUUUAUCUUUAUUCUUGUAGAUAUUCGCUGUAAAAUGUACCACUGAUAUUUUUACUCCCUUUGCAUAAGACGUCUGGGAUUUGAAUUGAGUUGAUUGUUGAAUUGAAAGCAAGUAGUCUAGAACUUAUUCCUAAACUUGGAAUCUGUUGCUUGAAUCAAUCCUGGGAGGUAGAGACACAAGCUAGAAUCUCUCAAUUCUUUCCCAUCCUCCAAAGCUUGUACUCCCAGAGAAGUCAUUUAGGUUAUCUGAGAGUGAUUGUGGAGAACUCGAUUCAUAAUAUUUAUAUAGCACCCUUUGCCAUUAAUGUGACAUCUUGUGUGCUACUAAUUCACCAUGCUUAACUAGC